CUGCAAGCCUCCAGGGUGCUUGGGUCUGGAGUGGCCCUGUGUAUUCCUACAGUGCUUGUAAGAACAGUUUUGAAACAUUUUGAGGCCUUGCUCUACACCAAUUACAGAGCAAAGUUAUAGAAAUUUCAGACAAUU
Molecule: small nucleolar RNA, 135 nt
Organism: Trichechus manatus latirostris (Florida manatee)
Lineage: Eukaryota; Metazoa; Chordata; Mammalia; Sirenia; Trichechidae
Product: small nucleolar RNA SNORA9
Exons: 1
Source: RefSeq, a predicted model, not a curated record